UCUCUUUCUCAGGGAGACUCUCUCAGCAGAUAAACAAACAAUGAAAAAACUCAAACUCUCUUGCUCUCUCUUUCUUCUUCAUUGCCAUUUCUUUAACUCCGGUGACCUGCGACACGACCGAUACUAAUGAAUCUAGGGUGAGCCGAUCUACAAAACCCACAUGGCCAUAGGACGGGAAAUUAGCCAACGCGCCGUCACCAAUGGUUUGCUGACUUCAACAGCUGUCGAUCGUGUUCUGCAAAAGGUGUAUGGUGAUUGAGGAAGAUUGUGGUGAUGCAGCUGUGGAGACUUUGAAUCAGUUCCUUGGUUGGUGCAAGCUCUCAUUAUUUUUCGUAAGGUAUUCCUACAAGUAAAUUUGGGUUAUCAUCAUCAAUUGUAUCCUAAUUUCUUUUGCUUCUGUGAGCAUCACCACUUGUGCUCUAUAUAUUCUGGUUCAUUCUAAGCUCACUUCUGUCCUUCGAAUUGAUACCCAUAAAUUCUUCUUGCUCCAUUAUGCUCUAUGUUUAGCUAGACAGUGCUUGGUAUCAUGUUUCUAUGUGAAUUUUUGCCUAUAAUUAAUAACUCGGGACUCCCACUAGUUAAAAUUCAUAAACUAAUUAUAUGGCUUCUCAUUGAUAAUACUGUGAUACUUCACAUCAACUUAUAUUUGUUUCUUUAUUUCUUUUGAUGCCAAAAUGAGCCAUAAUAGCACAAUUAUGAAACCCAAGCUCUUCAUGUCCAUGUUAUAUAUGCAGCACAUCAACUAAAUACAUUGCAAAUGUAACUGUGUCAAUAUAUGCUUCAAAUAAUUGAGUGAUUGAUGCGUAGAAGUCAAUCACAUAUUUGGUGUUGUUUUGAUCUUCUACUUGAUUGUUCUAUUUGUAGGUUUUUCUCAGAUGCAGUUAGAUGGAGUAUUGAUUCCUUUGGCCUGGGAUCAAAAAUGAUAACUUUACUGAUCAUGGUGUUCUAUUUUCAUUUGGUUGGUUAAUGAUUAACAAUAAGAAUUUGACUAGGAUACAUCAACCCUAUGUAUUCAUUGCACUUACUCUUUGGCAGGUACUAGAAAUCAUAAAGGCAAACAUUGUGAUACCGAUCAAACCUUGGUGGGAGGGGCCGUAAAUUAUGUAUAGACAUGGUGUUCUAUUUUUUUAAGUUUGUAAAUAUGAUAAAGCAGGCUAUGUAAUUUCUCACUGAUGC
This 1176-nucleotide long non-coding RNA is filed under the name Rosa chinensis. Its description in RNAcentral is "sRNA RchiOBHm_Chr2g0104071". Lineage: Eukaryota; Viridiplantae; Streptophyta; Magnoliopsida; Rosales; Rosaceae. The record is from RNAcentral.